CAGCCGCCGCGGUAAUACCGGCGGCCCGAGUGGCGGUCACUAUUAUUGGGCUUAAAGCGUCCGUAGCCGGGUUGGGGAGUCCUCCGGGAAAUCUGGCCGCUUAACGGUCAGAAUGCCGGAGGAUACUCCCAGCCUAGGGAGCGGGAGAGGCCGAGGGUAUUCCCGGAGUAGGGGUGAAAUUCUAUAAUCCCGGGAGGACCACCUGUGGCGAAGGCGCUCGGCUGGAACGCGUCCGACGGUGAGGGACGAAGGCCAGGGGAGCAAACCGGAUUAGAUACCCGGGUAGUCCUGGCUGUAAACGAUGCGGACUUUGUGUCGGACAAGCUAUGAGCUUGUCCGGUGCCGGAGGGAAACCGUUAAGUCCGCCGCCUGGGGAGUACGGCCGCAAGGCUGAAACUUAAAGGAAUUGGCGGG
Molecule: ribosomal RNA, 414 nt
Filed under: uncultured microorganism
Description: bacterial SSU rRNA
Rfam family: Archaeal small subunit ribosomal RNA
Source: RNAcentral